This 253-nucleotide ribosomal RNA is filed under the name uncultured bacterium. RNAcentral describes it as "partial 16S ribosomal RNA". It matches the Rfam family "Bacterial small subunit ribosomal RNA", at positions 524 to 776 of the family's 1533-position model. The record is from RNAcentral.
UACGUAGGGGGCGAGCGUUGUCCGGAUUUAUUGGGCGUAAAGAGCGUGUAGGCGGUUCGGUAAGUCUGUCGUGAAAUCCUGAGGCUCAACCUUGGACGUGCGAUGGAUACUGCCGGGCUAGAGGAUGGUAGAGGCGAGUGGAAUUCUCGGUGUAGCGGUGAAAUGCGCAGAUAUCGGGAGGAACACCAGUAGCGAAGGCGGCUCGCUGGGCCAUUCCUGACGCUGAGACGCGAAAGCUAGGGGAGCGAACAGG